AUCCAGCUGACGAGUCCCAAACAGGACGAAAUCCACGUUAUCCUGGAU
Molecule: non-coding RNA, 48 nt
Organism: Trichobilharzia regenti
Lineage: Eukaryota; Metazoa; Platyhelminthes; Trematoda; Strigeidida; Schistosomatidae
Source: Rfam